UGCCAGAGUGACCAUCAGAUUCUUGGUCACCUCCCCGACCAAGACCCUUCUCCUGAUUGCUCAGCUUGGUCGGGCGGCCAGCUCUGAGAAGAUUCUUGGUUAAUCCAAACUUAUUCCAUUUAAGAAUGAUGGAGCCCAGUGUUCUUUGGGAUCUUCAAUGCUGCAGAAGGUACCAAAAACACAAUCCUGUCUCGGAGUUCUACGGACAAUUUCUUAGACAUCAUGAUUUUUGCUCUGACAUGCAGUGUCAACUAUGUCGAAUCCUAAUUGCGAAAAUAUAUGUAAUCCACUUUGGAAUAAGGGUGUAACUUAACAUUCAGGAUACAGAGUGAGAGGAUGAGUACGAUCUGCUGUCUCACAGCCCUGGUCCAUCAGUAAACUGCAUGAUGCACUGAGUUUUUAAUGACCGCAUGCACAGGAUACUAGAGGCAAACCACAGUUAUUACUUGCAGGUUCCUGUGCACCAGGAACCAAAGCACCAGUUUGAAACAUGAACAAUAUACUACCCAAGACAAAACCUUUGGUGAGUGCCAAGACAACCUCUGCCUCACCAACGGCUACCUUUGGUACUUCCUACUUGAACCAUGAUAAAUGUUGUUUGCUAGUUGAGUUUUUCCCCAACAGUGUCAUGUUUCCUUGGCACUGGAUGGGAAGAACUCAAACUGUGGUGCAACCUGCACCUUUCCAAGGCUUGUGUUUGUUAUGCAGUGCAACAAUGUUUUGCCAAGAUGUAAUAUUGAACACAACCCAGGUUUGAAUGUAAUUUCCACCCACUGUCACUGCUUAGACGUUGCUUUAUAACAGAAUAGGUUUUGCGAAGAGAUGAGCGCCACAGUUGACACUUUAGUGCUAUUCUUUUUCCUGUAGUAUUAAUUAUCUAGCUAUAUAUAUAUAUAAGACGCUUAAUUAAAACAUAGUACAUAAAAAGAUUGUUUGUAGGAGUAGAGUCUUGUGUUAGUGAUGAGCUAUACCAGCUCUAGUCCAGGAUAGUCUCAGCAACUUGCAUGUGAAUGCCCUGGACCAGAGCUAAGGCUUUGCAGACUGCCAUCACAUGGCGAUGUUAAAAUGUUAGUGCCCAGUUGGAAAACGCUGUUUGUGAGUGUUCUCCCUGGCUUUUAAUAAGGUAAUCGGGGGCUAGUUCAUGUGAGCUAGUUCAGGGCUACAACGUGAGUUGUCUAGGCGUUCCCAGGGCAGAACCAUUCAGUAGGGAGUAAGGCGUGGUUACAUCCAGAGCCGGUUCUAGGCAUAAGUGACAUAAGUGGUUGCUUAGGCCCCCCGACCAAUAGGGGGCCUCUGACUGCUAUGGGAGAGGGGACCCAAAUUUUGCUUAGGGCACCCAAAAGUCUAGACCUGGCGCUGAUUACAUCGCAAAUGACGUGAAGUAGCUAGCCAUGUGGACAAUAGGUAAUACCCAAUGUGAUGUGUGCAAUAGCCUCCUUUGGUCUGGGAUGACAAUUUUUUUUAGGGACUGGUGGGCUGAGAAUGGUUUUCUGCUUUUCAGGCCAAUCCAUGUGCUUUAGAUGUGUACCUAGCGACAUCAUACCAAAAAACGUUUCAGCUGAUUGUGAUCCGUUUUAUCAUCUUAGUUUGUUGUACCUCUGGUUGAUAAUGAAGUUCAGCUGUUGGAUUUAUACCUACUUUUGAUUCAAUAGAGUAGCAAGGAACAUUUCCUGUUCUAGUAACUGUUAAAGUAGACUGGGUCCCUUUACACUCUGAUUGGCUAACACUCGGUUUACAUUGGAGUUUGAAUAAAUAUGAAAUACAAUUUUGGG
Molecule: long non-coding RNA, 1772 nt
Organism: Esox lucius (northern pike)
Lineage: Eukaryota; Metazoa; Chordata; Actinopteri; Esociformes; Esocidae
Source: Ensembl